GACAUAGGUGGCAAACGUUAUCCGGAAUUACUGGGCGUAAAGCGCGCGCAGGCGGUCUUCCAAGUCAGUGGUGAAAGCCCGGAGCUCAACUCCGGAACUGCCAUUGAAACUGUGAGACUGGAGUACGAGAGAGGUGAGUGGAAUUCCCAGUGUAGAGGUGAAAUUCGUAGAUAUUGGGAAGAACACCGGUGGCGAAGGCGGCUCACUGGCUCGUAACUGACGCUCAGGCGCGACAGCGUGGGGAUCAAACAGG
RNAcentral lists this ribosomal RNA (253 nucleotides) under uncultured bacterium. Its description in RNAcentral is "partial 16S ribosomal RNA". It matches the Rfam family "Bacterial small subunit ribosomal RNA", at positions 524 to 776 of the family's 1533-position model. The record is from RNAcentral.